Molecule: ribosomal RNA, 793 nt
Filed under: uncultured bacterium
Lineage: Bacteria
Description: bacterial SSU rRNA
Rfam family: Bacterial small subunit ribosomal RNA
Source: RNAcentral
AGAGUUUGAUCAUGGCUCAGAUUGAACGCUGGCGGAUGNNUUACACAUGCAAGUCGAACGGUAACAGGGAGCUUGCUCCGCUGACGAGUGGCGAACGGGUGAGUAAUAUAUCGGAACGUGCCCUGGAGUGGGGGAUAACUAGUCGAAAGAUUAGCUAAUACCGCAUACGAUCUAAGGAUGAAAGUGGGGGGAUCGCAAGACCUCAUGCUCGUGGAGCGGCCGAUAUCUGAUUAGCUAGUUGGUGGGGUAAAAGCCCACCAAGGCGACGAUCAGUAGCUGGUCUGAGAGGACGACCAACCACACUGGGACUGAGACACGGCCCAGACUCCUACGGGAGGCAGCAGUGGGGAAUUUUGGACAAUGGGCGCAAGCCUGAUCCAGCAAUGCCGCGUGAGUGAAGAAGGCCUUCGGGUUGUAAAGCUCUUUUGUCAGGGAAGAAACGGUGCGGGCUAAUAUCCUGUGCUAAUGACGGUACCUGAAGAAUAAGCACCGGCUAACUACGUGCCAGCAGCCGCGGUAAUACGUAGGGUGCGAGCGUUAAUCGGAAUUACUGGGCGUAAAGCGUGCGCAGGCGGUUAUGUAAGACAGAUGUGAAAUGCCCGGGCUUAACCUGGGAACUGCAUUUGUGACUGCAUGGCUAGAGUGUGUCAGAGGGGGGUAGAAUUCCACGUGUAGCAGUGAAAUGCGUAGAUAUGUGGAGGAAUACCGAUGGCGAAGGCAGCCCCCUGGGAUAACACUGACGCUCAUGCACGAAAGCGUGGGGAGCAAACAGGAUUAGAUACCCUAGUAGUCC